RNAcentral lists this ribosomal RNA (460 nucleotides) under uncultured bacterium. RNAcentral's name for it is "partial 16S ribosomal RNA". It matches the Rfam family "Bacterial small subunit ribosomal RNA", at positions 338 to 795 of the family's 1533-position model. The record is from RNAcentral.
CCUACGGGGGGCAGCAGUGAGGAAUAUUGGUCAAUGGGCGCGAGCCUGAACCAGCCAAGUAGCGUGAAGGAUGACUGCCCUACGGGUUGUAAACAUCUUCUAUAAAGGAAUAAAGUGAGGCACGUGUGCCUUUUUGUAUGUACUUUAUGAAUAAGGAUAGGCUAACUCCGUGCCAGCAGCCGCGGUAAUACGGAGGAGCCGAGCGUUAUCCGGAUUGAUUGGGUUUAAAGGGAGCGUAGAUGGGUUGUUAAGUCAGUUGUGAAAGUUUGCGGCUCAACCGUAAAAUUGCAUUUGAUACUGGCAGCCUUGAGUACAGUUGAGGUAGGCAGAAUUCGUGGUGUAGCGGUGAAAUGCGUAGAGAUCACGAAGAACUCCGAUUGCGAAGGCAGCUUACUAAACUGCCACUGACAUUGAUGCUCGAAAGUGUGGGUAUCAAACAGGAUUAGAUACCCGUGUAGUC